RNAcentral lists this long non-coding RNA (5101 nucleotides) under Sus scrofa (pig). RNAcentral's name for it is "lncRNA (ENSSSCG00000059350.1)". Lineage: Eukaryota; Metazoa; Chordata; Mammalia; Artiodactyla; Suidae. The record is from RNAcentral.
UCAACACCUUGGUGUUUGACGGAAACCGAGACACAGAUCGCUUCUCUCUCUUAUCCAUCAGACUUGGUUCCAGAUCUUUCCCGAAUUCGGACAUCAGCUUCACAAAGCCUUCAUCCAUUUCAGUGCCACUGGGACAUUCAUCUUUCCGAAGCCCAACUCCAGUCACGCUGACGCUUCAAGCCUCUCCUAGGGUUCCCCUUUCUUCGAUGUUGAAGGGCUGACUUUUCAGAUGGGCGUUCGGAGCCCCAGCGUUGCCCCAGCCUGUUCUCCAGCCACCCGAGGUGGCUGAGGCCGCCUUCGUCUUCCCCACGUUCCUCUGGCCGUGCCCCGAGCCCCUCAGCCCCCGCAGCCCCCUGCCCAGUCUUCUUUUAAUUAAAGCCCCACAGAAAUUCCUCUCUGCUGGGGUUUCAUAGCCCUUUGCUGUUACCACCCCUUUGCACUUGGUGUCAUAGAGUGUUGGUGGUGUCCCCUGUCUAACUGAGAACUUAGGGCCCCGUUAAGUCCUCGCUUGGGUCUCUUGCAGUGCUUGGUGUGGUCCCCGCGCUGGGCCAAGUGAAUGUGAUGUAGCAUCAGUGAAGGUGUGACUUAGAAGCCACUCAGAAUGAGUCCCCCAGAUCUCUGUCCACCACAGGAGCAUCGCCAAAACCAACACACCACCCUCCAGGGCGACAGCUUCACUAAUGCAGCUCAGUUACACGCACCGAUGUCCCUUUCCAUCCACGUUAUGGAAUCACUACUUGAAAAGCUUACUAAGGAGCUCAUUCUUCUUUAACUUCGCCCAACCUUCAAAAGCUUGUUGCUGAUCUCUUAUCCCACGGCCUUCAUGAUGGAACAUGUACCAGCCUUUCAACUGGGAAUAAACCCCAACUAAUUACCUCUGCUUACUUGUUCUAAAAAAACUCUGUGGAGCCUCAGUCUAUUCUGACCGCCUGCCUUUCAUCUGUUCAGACACCGUUCCUUCCCCGUGUCCCGUCCCCAGCACAGCAAGAGGGGUCUCCGUUCAAUUCAGGCACAGACAGGAUCUCCACCCAUGCUUGGGACGCUCUGCCUUCCGUGUGUGUCCAGAUCGCUCAGAGUGAUCACCUUUUCGGAGGUAGUUCUGGUUUGGUUUUGCAUUAAAGAGGAAAAUUGGGCUCUUCUGUUGCUGCUGCAAAUCAGCAUAGCCUGACGGACCGGAGAGUGCCAGGCAGGCUGGGUUAGGACUGGCUUUGUCCCCGGCAUGGUGUCCUGUUCAGUCCCCCUGGUCCUGUGUUUCCUCAUCUAUUAAACAGUCUUCCCUGUCUCACAGCACUAUUGCCAAAAGUCAGUGUAGCGCUGUUCCUGGCAUCCUCGUAACUCCUCGGUAAAUAUGAACCCUUAGCUACUGCAUGAUGUACUUGCCUUUGUGUGGUUUCAACGAGCCGUCCACCCCCGCCACACAACAGUGUUUGCUGCUUUCCUCUGUGUUAGCACAGAGGGUUCUAAUGGGGGAGACCCCUCUGUGGUUCUUUUCCCCAUCCUACCUGCACACCCGGCCUCAGAUUCACCUGUGGUGGCACCGAUGCCGGAAAGAUGUUACCGAAAUCGGGAUUCUUAAUCACACAGCCGAAGAAUAAACUUUGCAAACACACAGGCAGCAAGCAAGCAAAAACUUUAUUACAGAAAAGCAAACACCUCCCAGGGCAGCUGGGAGGAGGGAGAAGAGGCCCUGUUCUCUGUUGUCUUAUGGGGGUUUUUAUCCUCUAAAGAUGAGAAGUGCCAAAGAGAAGUCCAGAAAGAUGGGAUUUUUUUCUGCCAUUGGCCUUGCUCGGUUACCUGUUAUCAGUCUCUGUCCAAUAGGAGUCUUAGGGGGUCAUAAGUCUCCUGGUUUCUUUGCCCUUCUCUUCCCGUAGACUGAGUCACAGGGGGUUAGAGGUUAAUGUCCAUCCGGGUGUAAGUAGACUCCAUGUAGUAAACAAGACCUGUGGGGAUGUUACUCCCUGGAGCCCUUAAGCCACAAAUGUUCAUCAACAGCCAGAUCAAAGAAGGCAUCGAAGCCCAUGCUCCUACACUGACUACCUGAGCUAGUAUUCUGCCUCAGAACCAGCACUGACCCCACCUUCCAAGACUCCCUCUUCCUGCCAGAGAUCGAGUGUAUGCGUUUCCAGAGCCACUCCAUUUGACCUGGAGCAAGGAAGGGGCAGCAUGGGGAUAAGUGCUUAGUAGAAAAUAAAUCAGAUCUAUCAGGAGUGCUUCAAAUGCAAUUAUAUUAAAGCAGUAGACUGGGGACUGGGAAAAAAAUGCAUCCAUUCAGGAGAUGCAAGAGAUUACCAAGCUUGUAAUAAAAAAAAAUUAUAGGAUAGGAAAUGCCAAAUGCUUUAUGUCUGUUAGGCAAUAAUUUCCCCCAUUUUACACAAGAUGAAUUCUCAGCUCAGAUAAUUUGCUCUAAAUAACACAGUAAAUGACAGCGGUAGGAUUCAAACCCAGAUAUGCCUGAGUCCAAAGCCUACACUUCUCACUCAGUAGAUAGACAAGGUCAGGCCAUAGACAGAUAGACCAGAAACCUCAGAAUAACAUGAAAUCUGUGCAGCUUUAUGCUGAUUGUAUUCAAUUUAUCUGUGGCCCUUCUGUUUUCCCCUACACGUAAAAUACAUACAGCCUUCUUGGAAAAUUCCAGUGGAGGCCAUGGAUGCAAGUUGGUUCCUGGUUUCGUGAACUAGAGACCAGGUGCAGGCACAAGGAGCAUAGAGGAGACUUGCAACUUCCCUCCUACGUCUCCAACGGAUUUCUUUCUUUGUCCCAUUUUAAGAGUUAAUGCUUCUCUUACCAGCCCAGUCACCACCCACUUAAGCCAGUCAGGUUGGUUCCCUUUAGUUUCCCAGUGGAAGUCUAAGGUGCCAGCCAUCCCUGUUUCCCGUCUGGGGCGGGGUUGUGGGGGGCACUACCAGAGCCUGUGCUCCUGCUCCAGGCUCCCACCUCUACUUGGUGUCGGUUCUGUAGCUCAGCGACGAUGCUCCAUCCUCAUGGCUGUGUGUGUGUGUGUGUGUCCUGUGCUGUCAGCUAAGCUUUUGGCUUAACAGGGCCCCUUCUCCUAAAGCAAGAGCAAAGCCAUGUGACUGGGUGUUGUGGGCCCGCCUUCUUGCUCCAAGUAGACUUUGGAGAAAAAAAAAAAAAUCAACUUUCCUUACGUUUUGAGGAAAAUAACUACAGAUCUGAAAAAGAAAAACCUGAAUAACUGAAAAGCUUCUGUGUUGACGGAUGAGUACACUUCCUUGUUCUCCACCUGGGGUGUCACCACCGUGCAUCUGUGAGGCUGCAGGGAGGACGUGCCAAGAGCAGCACCAAAUUUUAGAAAUUUCACAGUUUUUUUGUUUGUUUGUUUAAGGCCACACCGGUGGCAUGUGGAGGUUCCCAGGCUAGGGGUGAAAUCGGAGCUACAACUGCCGGCCUACACCACAGCCACAGCAACACCAGAUCCUUAACCCACUGAGCGAGGCCAGGGAUCGAACCUGCAUCCUUAUGGAUACUAGUCAGAUUUGUUUCCACUGUGCCAUGACGGGAAUUCCAAACAUUUCAGUUUUGGAGUCUUAUGUUGCUGCAUUUCUCUUCUCUGAUUUCCUCUUCUCCCGAUUCUUGGAUCCCUCUAGUUUGGGUUUUGAGAGCCCUGGACGAGUGGGAGGCAGCAGCCCUGGCCUUGAGGUUUACAGUCCAACAGUGAAACAGACACACACAAGUAGAGGGUCUAGGCAAAGACAUGUGGGUACACGAGUGUGUUAAUGGGCAAACAGUAAAUAAAGAUGUGCUUUGAUUUAUUGUUGGUUUUAUAAUGUGAGAAGUUUUAAAAUUUUACAGAAAUUUUAAAAAUUAAAAGUUGGUUUAGUAUAAUUUACUGAGUUUAUGAAAACAAGAGUCUACAAUUAAAAAAAAAAAUCCUCCUGGGAGUUCCUGUCGUGGCUCAGUGGUAAUGAACCUGACUAGUAUCCAUGAGGAUGUGGGUUUGAUCCCUGGCCUCGCCCAGUGAGUUAAGGAUCCGGCAUUGCUGUGAGCUGCAGUGUAGGUCGCAGAUGUGGCUCAGACCCUGCGCGGCUGCCGCUGUGUGUAGGGCGGCGGCUACAGCUCUGAUUGGACCCCUAGUGUGGGAACUUUCAUAUGCCGUGAGUGUGGCUGUAAAAAGACAAAAAAAUUUUUUUUUAAUUAAAAAAAAGUCCCAUUACAUCCCAUUAUGCAAAUACCUCUCCAUCAGAUGAUUGGUCCCAAACCUGGUCUGGUGCCUGUCUGCUUGCUUUGUCACCACCCAGCUCCAUCUGUACCAGGGUGGCAUUUGAGAGAGGAGAGAGGGCUCGUUGAAGCCCUUGUACUUGCUAUGACAUCUCCUCACUGGGCAGAAGGGAUUCCUGGUUGCAAGUGGGAGAAUCGGGUCACGUGACGAAACCCUGCCCUCCAGCGCCCCCUACAGACCUGUGUGCAGAGCAGUGGAAAGGCUCCGGGCUCCUGCCUUCACCCCCUGCGUCUAUUUGCAGUUCACAGGGUGUCACUGCUAAGAAGUUCAGCCAGCGAUCUCUCUGAGCAGGUGAAGGCUCAGUCUUCCUUUUGAUGGCAGGAUUUCUUCAAAAGGCGUAAGCCGCUCCCUGAUCUCACUGAGUUCCUUCCCAUCGCAUCACUGCAAACCCUGGGCUAACAGGCUCGCUUCAUUACUUACCUCUCUCCCCAGUCCCUGGCCCCAAAGGAGAACGGGGAGGGGAGACGGGGGAAAAAGUGUACGGAUGUUAUGCCUGCACACACACACACACACACACACACACACACAGUUUAAAAUUGAUUUGUUUUGGUCAGUGAGGCAACACGAAUUUGGCACAAGGAAGUAGGCCAAUAACACAAAAGACGAAUCAUCAAAAAUGUAAGAGCACUGAGUUCCCAUUAUGGCUCAGUGGUUACUGAACCUGACUGGCAUUCAUGAGGACACGGGUUUGAUCCCUGGCCUCGCUCACUGGGUUAAGGAUCCAGCGUUGGUGUAGGUCACAGACAUGGCUUCAGUCCCCAAGUUGCUGUGGCUGUGGUGUGGGAUGGCAGGUACAGCUCCGACUGGACCCCUAGCCUGGGAACCUCUGUAUGCCGCGGGUGCAGCCCUAAAAAGACAAAAGAC